RNAcentral lists this ribosomal RNA (492 nucleotides) under uncultured bacterium. RNAcentral's name for it is "partial 16S ribosomal RNA". It matches the Rfam family "Bacterial small subunit ribosomal RNA", at positions 29 to 507 of the family's 1533-position model. The record is from RNAcentral.
AGUGAACGCUGGCGGUAGGCCUAACACAUGCCAGUCGAACGGCAGCACAGUAAGAGCUUGCUCUUACGGGUGGCGAGUGGCGGACGGGUGAGGAAUACAUCGGAAUCUACUUUUUCGUGGGGGAUAACGUAGGGAAACUUACGCUAAUACCGCAUACGACCUACGGGUGAAAGCAGGGGAUCUUCGGACCUUGCGCGAUUGAAUGAGCCGAUGUCGGAUUAGCUAGUUGGCGGGGUAAAGGCCCACCAAGGCGACGAUCCGUAGCUGGUCUGAGAGGAGGAUCAGCCACACGGGAACGGAGACAAGGUCCAGACUCCUACGGGAGGCAGCAGUGGGGAAUAUUGGACAAUGGGCGCAAGCCUGAUCCAGCCAUACCGCGUGGGUGAAGAAGGCCUUCGGGUUGUAAAGCCCUUUUGUUGGGAAAGAAAAGCAGCAGGCUAAUACCCCGCUGUUCUGACGGUACCCAAAGAAUAAGCACCGGCUAACUUCGUG